ACAUUGUCAACGGAUCUCAUGAGGCGAA
RNAcentral lists this non-coding RNA (28 nucleotides) under Cricetulus griseus (Chinese hamster). Lineage: Eukaryota; Metazoa; Chordata; Mammalia; Rodentia; Cricetidae. The record is from RNAcentral.